Long non-coding RNA from Oreochromis niloticus (Nile tilapia), 909 nucleotides. NCBI's taxonomy places the organism in Eukaryota, Metazoa, Chordata, Actinopteri, Cichliformes, Cichlidae. The record is from Ensembl.
UUGGCUCAUGAGCCAAGAGCACCUGGAAGGAGAUUUGGGGUGGCAGAGGUGACGGCUAUGGAGACUUUAUCACGAGGAAGAGCUGCAGUCAAGGAACACGGAUGCAUAAGCUGCAGCAGUACGUGCGGAAGAAGCAGCAGUCUGUGUCUGCUUCCACAAAUGCUCCAACUAAACCCCUGGGUAAGUUGUUUUAAUAAUAUUUUAAUAACGUUGUUGAUGUGAAACAAGUUCAGUAUAUAUUUAUCUAGUUGUUGCCUGCAUCAUAGGGAUGGAUGAGGAUAAAGACCUGGAGGACGCAAUGCUGAGCAUCUCACCUGUAAAACUACACAUGCAGAGCUUCACUGUGCCAGCAGCAGCAGAAGGGUCCACACCCAGAGGAUCUUCAGGAGCAAACACAGGUUUUCAAAUGAAAGGUUUCAGAACUGGAGUAAAAUAGUUUUACAUGAAUUGCUCUCCAAAGCUGAGCCUGAACUUUUAUAUAUUGUCUUGUUCUUGUUUUUGUGUGUUCUGGCCACGUUCCGGCGAUGUUCCUCUAAUAGUAUAGUUGUAUGCUGGCUGUAUGGUGGAAGAAAACAGUAAAUAAGGGAGAAACAGUUGAUUUUGUACAUAAGACAGUUUUGUUCUAGUUGUGAAUGUUUCUUUUGUUUAUAUAAAUAAAAACAGAUUGUAAAUAUAAAAGUGUAAAUAAAGAGUUUUCUGCAAAAAUAUCAACACAGUUUUCUUCUUAGAGUUCACCUAUAUGUUUAUAUAUCUGUGUGCUCACCAUCAGGUAAUCAGUUUUAAUAAGUUGUGAGUGCUGGCCUUAAAGCUUACAUACUAUUUCUAAAUCACUUCAUGUAAUGAUAACGAGCCAUCCUUUCUCUAGAGGGGUCUCAUAGCUUUUAUCUUCAUAAUCUUUCUGUUUUCAUU